CUUGAGCAACCUAUAAGAGGUCUAGCCUGCCCAGUGACUCUGUUCAACGGCCGCGGUAUCCUAACCGUGCGAAGGUAGCGUAAUCACUUGUUCUUUAAAUGAGGACUUGUAUGAAUGGCAUCACGAGGGUUAUACUGUCUCCUUUCUCUAAUCAGUGAAACUAAUCUCCCCGUGAAGAAGCGGGGAUAACCAUAUAAGACGAGAAGACCCUAUGGAGCUUUAAACUGAGUGGCAACUGCAUUAAUAACAUUAAAAUUUAAGAAGAUUAACUUUUUACCCAAGCACUGUGAUCAUAAGUUUUAGGUUGGGGCGACCACGGAGUAAAAACUAACCUCCGUAAUGAACAGGGAAUCUUCCCUAAACCAAGGGCCACAACCCGAAGAAUCAUUAUACUGACACCAAUUGACCCAAAAAUUUGACCAAUGGAC
Molecule: ribosomal RNA, 428 nt
Filed under: Leptodactylus stenodema group sp. ABGD cluster 109
Lineage: Eukaryota; Metazoa; Chordata; Amphibia; Anura; Leptodactylidae
Description: partial large subunit ribosomal RNA
Rfam family: Bacterial large subunit ribosomal RNA
Source: RNAcentral